This 515-nucleotide ribosomal RNA is filed under the name uncultured cyanobacterium. RNAcentral's name for it is "bacterial SSU rRNA". It matches the Rfam family "Bacterial small subunit ribosomal RNA", at positions 367 to 896 of the family's 1533-position model. Lineage: Bacteria; Bacillati; Cyanobacteriota. The record is from RNAcentral.
GUCAAUGGGCGAAAGCCUGACGGAGCAAGACCGCGUGAGGGAAGAAGGUCUGUGGAUUGUAAACCUCUUUUGAUAGGGAAGAAGUUCUGACGGUACCUAUCGAAUCAGCCUCGGCUAACUCCGUGCCAGCAGCCGCGGUAAUACGGAGGAGGCAAGCGUUAUCCGGAAUUAUUGGGCGUAAAGCGUCCGUAGGUGGAUGUUCAAGUCUUCUGUCAAAGCGCGGAGCUUAACUCCGUAAAGGCAGAGGAAACUGAGCGUCUAGAGUGCGAUAGGGGCAAGGGGAAUUCCCAGUGUAGCGGUGAAAUGCGUAGAUAUUGGGAAGAACACCGGUGGCGAAAGCGCCUUGCUGGGUCUGCACUGACACUGAGGGACGAAAGCUAGGGGAGCGGAAGGGAUUAGAUACCCCUGUAGUCCUAGCUGUAAACGAUGGGUACUAGGCGUUGUCCGUAUCGACCCGGGCAGUGCCGUAGCUAACGCGUUAAGUACCCCGCCUGGGGAGUACGCUCGCAAGAGUG